Molecule: long non-coding RNA, 667 nt
Organism: Pan troglodytes (chimpanzee)
Lineage: Eukaryota; Metazoa; Chordata; Mammalia; Primates; Hominidae
Exons: 2
Source: RefSeq, a predicted model, not a curated record
GAGCCCAACUGAGAAAAUGAAUGGAAGUUCAACUAAGUAAGAUGUCAGCCCAACUUAAGGACUUGGGCAUCUGGCAUUUCCACAAGUCAAGAAACAGCAGAAGAUACUGGACGCGGUGGCUCACGCCUGUAAUCUCAGCACUUUGGGAAGCCAAGGUGGGCAGAUCAUGAGGUCAAGAGAUCAAGACCAUCCUGGCCAACAUGGUGAAACCCCCAUCUCUACUAAAAAUACAAAAACUACCUGGGCGUGGUGGCAUGUGCCUAUAGUUCCAGCUACUCAGGAGGCUGAGGCAGGAGAAUUGCUUGAACCUGGGAGGCAGAGGUUGCAGUGAGCCGAGAUUGUGCCGCUGUACUCCAGCCUGGGUGACAGAGUGAGACUCCAUCUCAAAAAAAAAAAAAAAGAAACAGCAGAAGAUGGACAAGAGACUCUGCCUCCCAUCUUCCCUUCACAACUCACCCUCCUUACCCCAACUACCUCCUUCCGGUGGCUUGGUUUUGAGGCCAUGUUGUAAAUUAGCUGCAAAAGAAGACCAGGGAAGACGUUUCUCCUACACCUUGCAAGCCCCCCUGUAUUUUCAGUAUUUCUGGUAAGGACCUCACCACAUGUGGUGCAGAGCAUGGUACUAUGCAGAAUGAUGUAGAGAGAAUGAAUUUUCCCUUUCCAGACA